Molecule: ribosomal RNA, 497 nt
Filed under: uncultured bacterium
Lineage: Bacteria
Description: partial 16S ribosomal RNA
Rfam family: Bacterial small subunit ribosomal RNA
Source: RNAcentral
GAUGAACGCUGGCGGCGUGCUUAACACGUGCAAGUCGAACGAAGCACUUUUACAGAUUUCUUCGGAAUGAAGUUUUAGUGACUGAGUGGCGGACGGGUGAGUAACGCGUGGGUAACCUGCCUCACACAGGGGGAUAACAGUUGGAAACGACUGCUAAUACCGCAUAAGCGCACAGUACCGCAUGGUACGGUGUGAAAAACUCCGGUGGUGUGAGAUGGACCCGCGUCUGAUUAGCUAGUUGGCAGGGCAACGGCCUACCAAGGCGACGAUCAGUAGCCGACCUGAGAGGGUGACCGGCCACAUUGGGACUGAGACACGGCCCAAACUCCUACGGGAGGCAGCAGUGGGGAAUAUCGCGCAAUGGGGGAAACCCUGAUGCAGCGACGCCGCGUGAGCGAAGAAGUAUUUCGGUAUGUAAAGCUCUAUCAGCAGGGAAGAAGAAAUGACGGUACCUGACUAAGAAGCACCGGCUAAAUACGUGCCAGCCGCCGCGGUAA